Long non-coding RNA from Etheostoma spectabile (orangethroat darter), 156 nucleotides. RefSeq lists it as uncharacterized. The record is from RefSeq and is a predicted model, not a curated record. NCBI's taxonomy places the organism in Eukaryota, Metazoa, Chordata, Actinopteri, Perciformes, Percidae. The transcript has 2 exons.
UCUAAAGGCUCUGACACACUAACCCGAUAAUCGGCCGUUGGACGCAAAUGAUGAACCUGAUUGGUGGAGAGCUAACCCGGAAACGAGGAGCGGGAUGAGCGUGACUAGAGGCUCUCAAAAUCUGACGUAAAUCAUUUAAACUGACCUCUGUGGAUC